CCAGCCGCGGUAAUUCCAGCUCCAAUAGCGUAUAUUAAAGUUGUUGCAGUUAAAAAGCUCGUAGUUGAAUUUCGGGAUUGACACAUCGGUCGUGCCUUAAGGGGUAUGAACUGGUGUAGUCAAUUUCUCACCUUCUGGAGAACCGCGAUGCCCUUAAUUGGGUGUCGCGGGGAACCAGGACCUUUACUUUGAAAAAAUUAGAGUGUUUAAAGCAGGCAUUUUGCUUGAAUACAUUAGCAUGGAAUAAUAAAAUAGGACGGCAUGAUUCUAUUUUGUUGGUUUCUAGGAUCACCGUAAUGAUUAAUAGGGAUAGUUGGGGGCAUUAGUAUUCAAUUGUCAGAGGUGAAAUUCUUGGAUUUAUUGAAGACUAACUACUGCGAAAGCAUUUGCCAAGGAUGUUUUCAUUAAUCAAGAACGAAAGUUAGGGGAUCGAAGACGAUCAGAUACCGUCGUAGUCUUAACCAUAAACUAUGCCGACUAGGAAUCAGACGAUGUUAAUUUUUUAAUGACUCGUUUGGCACCUUACG
Molecule: ribosomal RNA, 527 nt
Filed under: uncultured Entrophospora
Lineage: Eukaryota; Fungi; Glomeromycota; Glomeromycetes; Entrophosporales; Entrophosporaceae
Description: SSU rRNA
Rfam family: Eukaryotic small subunit ribosomal RNA
Source: RNAcentral